RNAcentral lists this ribosomal RNA (440 nucleotides) under uncultured bacterium. Its description in RNAcentral is "partial 16S ribosomal RNA". It matches the Rfam family "Bacterial small subunit ribosomal RNA", at positions 338 to 795 of the family's 1533-position model. The record is from RNAcentral.
CCUACGGGAGGCAGCAGUGGGGAAUAUUGCACAAUGGGGGAAACCCUGAUGCAGCGACGCCGCGUGAGUGAAGAAGUAUUUCGGUACGUAAAGCUCUAUCAGCAGGGAAGAAAAUGACGGUACCUGACUAAGAAGCCCCGGCUAACUACGUGCCAGCAGCCGCGGUAAUACGUAGGGGGCAAGCGUUAUCCGGAUUUACUGGGUGUAAAGGGAGCGUAGACGGCAGCACAAGUCUGGAGUGAAAUCCCGGGGCUUAACCCCGGAACUGCUUUGGAAACUGUGCGGCUGGAGUGCAGGAGGGGUAAGCGGAAGUCCUGGUGUAGCGGGGAAAUGCGUAGAUAGUAGGAGGAACACCGGUGGCGAAGGCGGCUUACUGGACUGUAACGGACGUUGAGGCUCGAAAGCGUGGGGAGCAAACAGGAUUAGAGACCCGGGUAGUC